GAUGAACGCUGGCGGCGUGCCUAAUACAUGCAAGUCGAGCGAACAGACGAGGAGCUUGCUCCUCUGACGUUAGCGGCGGACGGGUGAGUAACACGUGGAUAACCUACCUAUAAGACUGGGAUAACUUCGGGAAACCGGAGCUAAUACCGGAUAAUAUAUUGAACCGCAUGGUUCAAUAGUGAAAGACGGUUUUGCUGUCACUUAUAGAUGGAUCCGCGCCGCAUUAGCUAGUUGGUAAGGUAACGGCUUACCAAGGCAACGAUGCGUAGCCGACCUGAGAGGGUGAUAGGCCACACUGGAACUGGGACACGGUCCAGACUCCUACGGGAGGCCGCAGUAGGGAAUCUUACGCAAUGGGCGAAAGCCUGACGGAGCAACGCCGCGUGAGUGAUGAAGGUCUUCGGAUCGUAAAACUCUGUUAUUAGGGAAGAACAAAUGUGUAAGUAACUAUGCACGUCUUGACGGUACCUAAUCAGAAAGCCACGGCUAACUACGUG
This 497-nucleotide ribosomal RNA is filed under the name uncultured bacterium. Its description in RNAcentral is "partial 16S ribosomal RNA". It matches the Rfam family "Bacterial small subunit ribosomal RNA", at positions 28 to 507 of the family's 1533-position model. The record is from RNAcentral.